UAAAUUUAGAGUUUGAUCCUGGCUCAGGACGAACGCUGGCGGCGUGCUUAACACAUGCAAGUCGAGCGAUGAAGCUUCCUUCGGGAGGUGGAUUAGCGGCGGACGGGUGAGUAACACGUGGGUAACCUGCCUCAAAGUGGGGGAUAGCCUUCCGAAAGGAAGAUUAAUACCGCAUAAUAUGAGAGAAUCGCAUGAUUUUCUUAUCAAAGAUUUAUUGCUUUGAGAUGGACCCGCGGCGCAUUAGCUAGUUGGUAAGGUAACGGCUUACCAAGGCAACGAUGCGUAGCCGACCUGAGAGGGUGAUCGGCCACAUUGGAACUGAGACACGGUCCAGACUCCUACGGGAGGCAGCAGUGGGGAAUAUUGCGCAAUGGGGGAAACCCUGACGCAGCAACGCCGCGUGGGUGAUGAAGGUCUUCGGAUUGUAAAGCCCUGUUUUCUAGGACGAUAAUGACGGUACUAGAGGAGGAAGCCACGGCUAACUACGUGCCAGCAGCCGCGGUAAUACGUAGGUGGCGAGCGUUGUCCGGAUUUACUGGGCGUAAAGGGUGCGUAGGCGGAUGUUUAAGUGGGAUGUGAAAUCCCCGGGCUUAACCUGGGGGCUGCAUUCCAAACUGGAUAUCUAGAGUGCAGGAGAGGAAAGCGGAAUUCCUAGUGUAGCGGUGAAAUGCGUAGAGAUUAGGAAGAACACCAGUGGCGAAGGCGGCUUUCUGGACUGUAACUGACGCUGAGGCACGAAAGCGUGGGUAGCAAACAGGAUUAGAUACCCUGGUAGUCCACGCCGUAAACGAUGGAUACUAGGUGUAGGGGGUAUCAACUCCCCCUGUGCCGCAGUUAACACAAUAAGUAUCCCGCCUGGGGAGUACGGUCGCAAGAUUAAAACUCAAAGGAAUUGACGGGGGCCCGCACAAGCAGCGGAGCAUGUGGUUUAAUUCGAAGCAACGCGAAGAACCUUACCUGGACUUGACAUCCCUUGCAUAGCCUAGAGAUAGGUGAAGCCCUUCGGGGCAAGGAGACAGGUGGUGCAUGGUUGUCGUCAGCUCGUGUCGUGAGAUGUUAGGUUAAGUCCUGCAACGAGCGCAACCCUUGUUAUUAGUUGCUACCAUUAAGUUGAGCACUCUAAUGAGACUGCCUGGGUAACCAGGAGGAAGGUGGGGAUGACGUCAAAUCAUCAUGCCCCUUAUGUCCAGGGCUACACACGUGCUACAAUGGUAGGUACAAUAAGACGCAAGACCGUGAGGUGGAGCAAAACUUAUAAAACCUAUCUCAGUUCGGAUUGUAGGCUGCAACUCGCCUACAUGAAGCUGGAGUUGCUAGUAAUCGCGAAUCAGAAUGUCGCGGUGAAUACGUUCCCGGGCCUUGUACACACCGCCCGUCACACCAUGAGAGCUGGUAACACCCGAAGUCCGUGAGGUAACCGUAAGGAACCAGCGGCCGAAGGUGGGAUUAGUGAUUGGGGUGAAGUCGUAACAAGGUAGCCGUAGGAGAACCUGCGGCUGGAUCACCUCCUUU
This 1512-nucleotide ribosomal RNA is filed under the name Clostridium botulinum. RNAcentral's name for it is "bacterial SSU rRNA". It matches the Rfam family "Bacterial small subunit ribosomal RNA". Lineage: Bacteria; Bacillati; Bacillota; Clostridia; Eubacteriales; Clostridiaceae. RNAcentral also lists the same sequence under 1 other name. The record is from RNAcentral.